AUGCAAUCUUAUGAUGAAAAACUUAAUUUGGAAGUUUCUAUACCUAGAAAACUUUAUGAUGAGUGGGAACCUACUAUAAAGAUUAAAAUUAAAGAUCAUGAGUGUUAUGCUUUGUGUGAUUUGGGUGCUAGUGUUUCCACAAUUCCGAAAACUUUAUGCGAUAUUCUAGGUUUCCAUGAUCUUGAUGAUUGCUCUUUAAAUUUGCACCUUGCGGAUUAUACCAUUAAGAAGCCUAUGGGAAGGAUCAAUGCUGUUCUUAUUGUUGCAAAUAGGAACUAUGUGCCCGUAGAUUUUACCGUUCUUGACAUAGAUUGCAAUCUUUCUUGUCCUAUUAUUCUUGGUAGACCUUUCCUUAGAACGAUUGGUGCGAUUAUUGAUAUGAAGGAAGGGAAUAUUAGAUUCCAAUUUCCAUUAAGGAAAGGCAUGGAGCACUUUCCAAGAAAGAAAGUUAAAUUACCUUAUGAAUCUAUCAUGGAAGCUACUUAUGAAUUGAGUGCCAAAGAUGGCACUACUUAG
Molecule: ribosomal RNA, 516 nt
Filed under: Triticum aestivum (bread wheat)
Lineage: Eukaryota; Viridiplantae; Streptophyta; Magnoliopsida; Poales; Poaceae
Description: partial small subunit ribosomal RNA
Source: RNAcentral